UCGUAACAAGGUUUCCGUAGGUGAACUCUGGCGGAAGGAUCAUUGUCGAAACCUGCACAAGCAGAAAGACCCGUGAACUCGUUAUACAAACACCCGGGGGGCAGCGGCGCUCGGCCGCUUCCCCCCCCGGAAUUCAACGAACCCCGGCGCGGACUGCGCCAAGGACUAAGAACAGAAGCGCGCCGCACGCCACCGGGGGUCUCCCGGUGCGCGGGCGGCGACGUGUCGUCUCGAUACUAAUAGAACGACUCUCGGCAACGGAUAUCUCGGCUCUCGCAUCGAUGAAGAACGUAGCGAAAUGCGAUACUUGGUGUGAAUUGCAGAAUCCCGUGAACCAUCGAGUCUUUGAACGCAAGUUGCGCCCGAAGCCUUCGGGCCAAGGGCACGUCUGCCUGGGCGUCACGCACCGCGUCGCCCCCCACCCCUUCCUUCCGAGGAAGGGGCGUGGGGCGGAGAUUGGCCCCCCGUGCGCUCCCCGCUCGCGGUCGGCCUAAAUACGGACCCCGUGGCCGCGAAAUGCCGCGACGAUUGGUGGUGUACUCCACGGCCCCGUGCCGUCGAGCAUCGCGUCGCGUCUUCCGUGGCCCUCGGGUUUCAAAGGACCCUGGAGGGAGCCCUCCGUUCAGCGCGGACGGGACCCCCUCAACCGUUGCGACCCCAGGUCAGGCGGGACUACCCGCUGAGUUUAAGCAUAUC
RNAcentral lists this ribosomal RNA (696 nucleotides) under Koenigia cathayana. RNAcentral describes it as "eukaryotic LSU rRNA". The stretch from base 247 to 402 matches the Rfam family "5.8S ribosomal RNA". The record is from RNAcentral. Lineage: Eukaryota; Viridiplantae; Streptophyta; Magnoliopsida; Caryophyllales; Polygonaceae.